Molecule: ribosomal RNA, 465 nt
Filed under: uncultured bacterium
Lineage: Bacteria
Description: partial 16S ribosomal RNA
Rfam family: Bacterial small subunit ribosomal RNA
Source: RNAcentral
ACGCACGCUGGCGGCGUGCUUAACCCAUGCAAGUCGCACGGAAAGGCCCUGCUUGCAGGGUACUCGAGUGGCGAACGGGUGAGUAACACGUGGGUGAUCUGCCCUGCACUUCGGGAUAAGCUUGGGAAACUGGGUCUAAUACCGGAUAGGAACCAUCUUUAGUGUGGUGGUUGGAAAGUUUUUUCGGUGUAGGAUGAGCUCGCGGCCUAUCAGCUUGUUGGUGGGGUAAUGGCCUACCAAGGCGGCGACGGGUAGCCGGCCUGAGAGGGUGUACGGCCACAUUGGGACUGAGAUACGGCCCAGACUCCUACGGGAGGCAGCAGUGGGGAAUAUUGCACAAUGGGCGCAAGCCUGAUGCAGCGACGCCGCGUGGGGGAUGAAGGCCUUCGGGUUGUAAACUCCUUUCGCUAGGGACGAAGCUUUGUUGUGACGGUACCUAGAUAAGAAGCACCGGCUAACUACGUG